Molecule: long non-coding RNA, 1340 nt
Organism: Girardinichthys multiradiatus
Lineage: Eukaryota; Metazoa; Chordata; Actinopteri; Cyprinodontiformes; Goodeidae
Exons: 3
Source: RefSeq, a predicted model, not a curated record
UGGUAAGGUUCUAAACCCAGACCUUCAUCUGAGGUGUCUCUGCUCUCUUCCUCAGGUCAGUCCUGCAUUCAUGCACUGAUGCAACCAGAAGGAGACGCUUGAAGGUUGGAGCCUCACAAAACAUCUUCGUCAUCAGCUGGAGGUGGCUCUGGAAGAACUCAUGAUGGAGUGAGGACAGAAGAUGCUGUAGAAGUUCAGUGGAAUAUUAAAUAUUAGUGAGGCUUCAGACUUACUGGAAGAACUCUUAGCACCUCCUCCAUCCAGAAACAUGUGGUUUGCUAUGAAGCUUCUCAACUUAUAGCUUGAACUAAAAACUAAGAGAAUAUGAAGAAGCCUAGUUCAUUCUCAGCAUACAAAACACAAACGUUAUCUAGACAGACAAACAGCACCCUGAAGAUCAAGGAACCCAACAGAGAGGUCAAGGAGGAGAAAGUGUUUCCGUUUAAAGCAGGGUGAGGUUCUACAGCAACAUCCCAAGCUUUGGACAUCUCAGAGUUCUGUUCAUCUGAACAUGGAGAGAGGACGGGUCACCUGCAGACCUACCAAGACAUGGAGGUCCACCUCGACAGACAGGCUGGGCAGAGAUAUUAAUCAGAGAAGCAACCAAGACAUCCAAGGUGACUCUGGAGGAGCAAGAAAACAACAGCAACCCGAGACUUCAUAUUUAUGCAUGAGACACAAACGAAACCUUAGAACAUUAUCUCUAUAAAUUCAGUUAGUUUUCGUCUUUUUGCAAAGUCUCAUUUUUAUUUUUUAUCUCAGUUAAUGAAAAUGUUUUUUUUACUUCUAGGUUUGGUUAUUUCGUUAGUUUUCAUUAAGGAUAAUCUCACUGCUGAGUAGAGAAUCUGUUAGGAGGAAUAAUGGAUGUUUUUUCUGUAUUUGUUUGAUUGUUUUUAGCAUUAUUUUAGUUGUAUGAUUUUUAUUGUUGCUUCACCAUAAUUUAAAAAUGAGCCACACCUGUCUGGAUGGAACAACCAAUCAGAACGCAGCUCUAGGUUUUUAAAGUACACAGCAGAGGGGGAGAGGAGCCCUCCUCCGCGAAGGCGCGGAUGACGACCAGCAUAAGAGAAUUGAGACCUCAGAACCAGGCCCAGAACCAGGAUCAAGGAGGGUCUGUAGGAAGCGCUGAAAGAAAUCCAGCAGCAGAAGAAGAGCAGCAGCAGUCGAGACCUCAGGAAGUGGGCCGAGCCCUAAAGUCUAAUCUUUGAUCUGGGUUUUAGUUGUUUCAUAUUUCUUAGCUGGAAUUUGGAUAUUUUUUUUUUUUUACAACUUUUUGUUUCUGGGAUUUAGUUGAUUUUCAUUUAGUUUUUAUUGUAAUAAACUUUUCAGCCAUUUUUAAA